RNAcentral lists this ribosomal RNA (460 nucleotides) under uncultured bacterium. RNAcentral describes it as "partial 16S ribosomal RNA". It matches the Rfam family "Bacterial small subunit ribosomal RNA", at positions 338 to 795 of the family's 1533-position model. The record is from RNAcentral.
CCUACGGGUGGCAGCAGUGAGGAAUAUUGGUCAAUGGGCGCUAGCCUGAACCAGCCAAGUAGCGUGAAGGAUGACUGCCCUAUGGGUUGUAAACUUCUUUUAUAUGGGAAUAAAGUGCAGUAUGUAUACUGCUUUGCAUGUACCUUAUGAAUAAGGAUCGGCUAACUCCGUGCCAGCAGCCGCGGUAAUACGUAGGGGGCAAGCGUUAUCCGGAUUUACUGGGUUUAAAGGGAGCGUAGACGGCAGUGCAAGUCUGGAGUGAAAGGCGGGGGCUCAACCCCCGGACUGCUCUGGAAACUGUACGGCUGGAGUGCAGGAGAGGUAAGUGGAAUUCCUAGUGUAGCGGUGAAAUGCUUAGAUAUCACGAAGAACUCCGAUUGCGAAGGCAGCCUGCUGGACUGUAACUGACGCUGAUGCUCGAAAGUGUGGGUAUCAAACAGGAUUAGAUACCCGAGUAGUC